AGUCCAGUACUACACAGAUACUUCCUUAGUGCUUAGCAUUGCAGUCCAGUACUACACAGAUACUUCCUUAGUGCUUAGCAUUGCAGUCCAGUACUACACAGAUACUUCCUUAGUGCUUAGCAUUGCAGUCCAGUACUACACAGAUACUUCCUUAGUGCUUAGCAUUGCAGUCCAAUACUACACAGAUACUUCCUUAGUGCUUAGCAUUGCAGUCCAGUACUACACAGAUACUUCCUUAGUGCUUAGCAUUGCAGUCCAGUACUACACAGAUACUUCCUUAGUGCUUAGCAUUGCAGUCCAGUAAAGCGUUCUCUCCUCCACCGUUCUAGGUGGUACUGUCAGAGCAUCACCAGAUCAGAGGCUGAACAGCUGCUACGACAGGAGGUUCCAGUCCGGGUUUUGUUCUUUCUUCGAUCAAUCAAUCAAUUAGCCAGACUAUCUGUUGGUCAGGUAGUCUGCUUGUCUAUCUGUUUCUCCUGUGCUGUAAAUCUGUAGAUAUUCUACAAUUGUUCAUUUAAUCUCUACAGGCUAAAGAGGGAGGGUUUGUGGUGAGGGAGUCGAGUCAACAAAGCUGUUACACUGUUUCAGUGUUCACUAAAGCUCUGGGUAUAAACGGUGGUAUCAGACACUACCAGAUAAAGCUCAAUGAUUCUGGAAGCUUCUAUCUUUUGUGAGAAGCACAUCUUCACCUCGAUACCUGAACUCAUAGAGUACCACAACCACAACGCUGCAGGUAGAGUGUACACACACACACACACACACACACACACACACACACACACACACACACACACACACACACACACCACACACACACACACACACACACACACACACACACACACACACACACACACACAUACACACACACUCCCUCUCGCCCUCUGUGUGUGCAGGUCUGGUGACCAGGUUAAGGUAUGCAGUAGGACCUAUGGGCAGGUGUGUCCCUGCUACACCAGGCUUCAGCUCAGAGAAAUGGGAGAUUGACCCUAGUGAGUUGACUGUAAUGAAGGAGCUGGGUUGUGGUCAGUUUGGGUUGGUGAGGCUGGGGAAAUGGAGAGCUCUGUGUAAGGUGGCCAUCAAAACAAUCAACGAAGGAGCCAUGCACGAAGAAGACUUCAUAGAGGAGGCUAAGAUUAUGAUGUGAGUAGAACAUGUGUAACACACACACACACACACACUGAUAAAGACACGCACACACACUGUUAAAGACACAAACACACACACACACACUGAUAAAGACACACACACACACACACACUGUUAAAGACACAAACACACACACACACACUGAUAAAGACACACACACGGACAGAGAGACAGAGAGAGACACACACACACACACACACACACACACACACACACACACACACACACACACACACUGUUAAAGACACAAACACACAGACACUGAUAAAGACACACAGACACUGAUAAACACAAACACUGAUAAAGAGAGUGGCCUCGGAGCUGGGAACAGGCUAAGAGUGGUGUGUGAUUUGCUAUCAUUGUCACACCCCCACAUCUCUAGUCUAACCACACAAACACACACACACACACACACACACACACACACACUCCAUCUCUAAUCACACGUUCCAUCUACUGUUUAGUUUCCAUUUAGUUUCCAUCUACUGUUUAGUUUCCAUCUACUGUUUAGUUUCCAUCUACUGUUUAGUUUCCAUCUACUGUUUAGUUUCCAUCUACUGUUUAGUUUUCAUUUAGUUUCCAUCUACUGUUUAGUUUCCAUUUAGUUUCCAUCUACUGUUUAGUUUCCAUUUAGUUUCCAUCUACUGUUUAGUUUCUAUCUACUGUUUAGUUUCCAUCUACUGUUUAGUUUCCAUCUACUGUUUAGUUUCUAUCUACUGUUUAGUUUCCAUUUAGUUUCCAUCUACUGUUUAGUUUCUAUCUACUGUUUAGUUUCCAUCUACUGUUUAGUUUCUAUCUACUGUUUAGUUUCCAUCUACUGUUUAGUUUCCAUCUACUGUUUAGUUUCCAUCUACU
This is a long non-coding RNA of Oncorhynchus kisutch (coho salmon), 2004 nucleotides long. The record is from Ensembl. NCBI's taxonomy places the organism in Eukaryota, Metazoa, Chordata, Actinopteri, Salmoniformes, Salmonidae.